CCUACGGGAGGCAGCAGUGAGGAAUAUUGGUCAAUGGCCGGAAGGCUGAACCAGCCAAGCCGCGUGAAGGACGAAGGUGCCAAGCAUUGUAAACUUCUUUUGUCAAGGGACAAAAUCAGGCGCGAGAGCCUGACCGAGGGUACUUGAAGAAUAAGCAUCGGCUAACUCCGGGCCAGCAGCCGCGGUAAUACGGAGGAUUCGAGCGUUAUCCGGAUUUAUUGGGGGUAAAGGGUGCGUAGGGGGGCUGUUAAGUCAGCUGUGAAAGGCCGGGGGUCAACCCCGGGAAAGCGUUGGAGACUGGCUGUCUUGAGAUGAGGAGAGGUAAGCGGAAUGCGUAGUGUAGCGGUGAAAUGCUUAGAUAUUGCGAAGAACUCCGAUUGCGAAGGCAGCAUACUGG
Molecule: ribosomal RNA, 397 nt
Filed under: uncultured bacterium
Lineage: Bacteria
Description: partial 16S ribosomal RNA
Rfam family: Bacterial small subunit ribosomal RNA
Source: RNAcentral